Molecule: long non-coding RNA, 1061 nt
Organism: Oncorhynchus keta (chum salmon)
Lineage: Eukaryota; Metazoa; Chordata; Actinopteri; Salmoniformes; Salmonidae
Exons: 3
Source: RefSeq, a predicted model, not a curated record
AAAGAGAGAGCCGGGCAGAAGGAGGUAAGUUUAAGGGGAGAGAGAGAGGGAGAGAAAGAGAGAGCCGGGCAGAAGGAGAUAAGUUUAAGGGGAGAGAGAGAGGGAGUAAAAGAGAGAGCCGGGCAGAAGGAGAUAAGUUUAAGGGGAGAGAGAGAGGGAGUAAAAGAGAGAGCCGGGCAGAAGGAGAUAAGUUUAAGGGGAGAGAGAGAGGGAGUAAAAGAGAGAGCCGGGCAGAAGGAGAUAAGUUUAAGGGGAGAGAGAGAGGGAGUAAAAGAGAGAGCCGGGCAGAAGGAGAUAAGUUUAAGGGGAGAGAGAGAGGGAGUAAAAGAGAGAGCCGGGCAGAAGGAGAUAAGUUUAAGGGGAGAGAGAGAGGGAGUAAAAGAGAGAGCCGGGCAGAAGGAGGUAAGUUUAAGGGGAGAGAGAGAGAGCAGCCAUAUCCACUCCUCCUUGACAUUCUCCCUGGCUUUAAAGACCUUUGAGUCCAGAGGAUUCUGUCCCUCUGACAGGGUUUAGGAGGAUUUGAUGAUACACAUCUCAUACUGCAGCUCUUAUAUAAUGCUGCAGUACACAAGCCGAUUCUCAUUCAUAACACAUAGGUUGCUAUACAGCAUUAAAUAUACAGCUUGUUGGUAAAUCUGCUGUAGAAUGUAUUGACUUGGGUGUAAUUGUAAGGUUCUGUAUUUAUUUGUGAGAAACAGUUUUUGCCUUCAGUCCUAGUUUUGAUUCACCUGCCUGUUUGCCUACCUGUGAAUGACCAUUGCCUACCUGUGAAUGACCAUUGCCUACCUGUGUUUGACCAUUGCCUACCUGUGAUUGACCAUUGCCUACCUGUGUUUGACCAUUGCCUACCUGUGAUUGACCAUUGCCUACCUGUGUUUGACCAUUGCCUACCUGUGAUUGACCAUUGCCUACCUGUGUUUGACCAUUGCCUACCUGUGAUUGACCAUUGCCUACCUGUGAUUGACCAUUGCCUACCUGUGAUUGACCAUUGCCUACCUGUGAUUGACCAUUGCCUACCUGUGAAUGACCAUUGCCUACCUGUGUUUGACCAUUGCCUACCU